RNAcentral lists this unclassified non-coding RNA (379 nucleotides) under soil metagenome. RNAcentral describes it as "partial contains 5.8S ribosomal RNA, internal transcribed spacer 2, and large subunit ribosomal RNA". The stretch from base 1 to 119 matches the Rfam family "5.8S ribosomal RNA", at positions 36 to 154 of the family's 154-position model. The record is from RNAcentral.
AUGAAGAACGUAGCGAAAUGCGAUAAGUAAUGUGAAUUGCAGAAUUCAGUGAAUCAUCGAAUCUUUGAACGCACCUUGCACCCUUUGGCAUUCUGAAGGGUAUGCUCGUUUGAGUGUCAUUGUACUCUCACACUCCCGAUCUUUGCAUUGGGAGCAGUGGACUUGGGUUUGCUGCUUCACCGUCGCUUACCUCAAAUAGGUUAGUGCAACUCUUGGUUGGACAUAGUACGGCGUGAUAAGUGUUCUUCGCCGGUGCCUCGCAAAGAGGGUGGCCGAUCGGGAUGUUGUGCUCCAAACCGUCUUCGGACAAUCUCUGACGACUUGACCUCAAAUCGAGUAAGACUACCCGCUGAACUUAAGCAUAUCAAUAAGCGGAGGA